This 387-nucleotide long non-coding RNA is filed under the name Homo sapiens (human). Its description in RNAcentral is "non-protein coding LINC01248:7". Lineage: Eukaryota; Metazoa; Chordata; Mammalia; Primates; Hominidae. The record is from RNAcentral.
UUCCCGUCUAAAUAUUUUCCCUGGAGAUGGAAAGGUGCGCUGGCGGCCGGGGAGCCGCGACCUGGGGCGCGCUGGGCCUCGCAGAGCAGCCGCGGACCCCGGCGAUCGUGCCGUGUUCGUCUCCUUUGUGUUUCUUUAUUGAGUCCCUACUACCUCUACGGAUAUUCUGGGGGCAAUUAAAGAAAAUCACCGCUUCAUAGGCAGCACAUAUUUCCCAUAGAAAUGUGGAAUGUAAGAAAGGCACAUAAAGCAAUCCAAGUUGCCUGCAGAUAUCCACAGCCUACUUCAGUCUCAGUAAUGCUCUUUUAACCUGGUGCAUCAGUUUAAGGGAAGACAUGAGAUCAUGGGUUUAAGUGAGGCUUCAUCAUGCCAAGACAACGUGAUCAG